CGUCCUAACAUCGCGCGAGAACUCUGCGCCGGUGACUACGCUUAUCAGUCCGUCGUAUUCCUUUGUCUUCUUGUCACAAAAAGAAUUUCAUCAAUCUGGAAAGGGAGUUUUACUUACGUAAAUGGAUGUAGACCAGACUCAGACAUGUGAGAACUGUCUUAAUGUGGAUUUAUAAGCCUCUGAAUGAAUUUCUAAGGCACCUAAGCUAUUGUUUCUUAAAAUAAGGUUAGUUACUGUCUAUUCAAGUCAGUUCAUAGGGCUUCUCGUGAGUAGGAAAGUGGGUUCACAAACUCACAGGCUUUCCUUCUUUAAGGUAUGGAUUCUUGGCUAUUACCAAAGAAUUUAGAUGAGCAGAGUUUGAUUUUUAAAGAGAAGUGUUACUAUGUUUAGUGUUAUUUUUAAAAUUAAGGAGCAGCUGAAAGGCAAACUUCUCCUAACAAGACAUAAUAAAGGAAUAUUUCAAUUUGUCUUACAGAUUUUAAAGUUUCUAUAAUUUGGCCAACAUCUACAAAGCAAGUGGACAAUAUUUCCUCUUCACUUUUAACUAAUAAAGAGUAGCAAAAUGUUUUUCCUUACGUAGAGGUGACUGGCACAGGAGCACAAAUUGAGGCUUUUAAGCGGUACUGAAAGAAAUAUCUCAGGGGAUUUUAAUUUCUAAACUGAUGCCUAUGUUCUUUUCCUCAGGUUACAAUCUUAAUCUAAAAGUGUUUCCUGCUUCAUAAUGCCUGUAGACGUGAAGCCAACAAAUCUUUGCCAAAAUGUGUUCAUGUGGUAAUUCACUGCAGCACAGGAGCAAUAAUCAGCUAUGUGCGGGGGCAUCUAUGCUAUUGUCUCUUAAAAUAUUUACUUUAAAAGUAAGGUUAGUUAUUGUCUGUUCAAGUCAGUUAGCCCUUACAAUUCAUUUGAUAGUGAUUACCAGUACAAUAUGUUAGUUUGUUGGAGUGAGAAUAAUGGUGUUAAUCCUUGGAAAAAUGCAAGACCAAAGGGAAAUGUAAAUUUUGCAUAUCUAUGUUUAAUGUCUUACAUUUAUAUUCGAAUAAACGGUUAUGAUUAUAACUCUUUGUAAAAGAAACUCCAUUUUGAGCACCCCAGAUUAUGAUCACUUUCAAAUACAGACUCAGAAGUACAGGUUUAGAAAAAAAGGAUUUAGAGGAAUGCAGCAUAUAUAUUAAGACUUCUAGCGAGGGAAGGAGUGUAGCUCUGGUUCAACUAAGAUAAAGUACUGAUGGAAGGUCACUGGCAGAUAAUACAGAGAAACAGCCUGCCUUGCAGGGUUUUUUGUAUGCCUAGUCAGCCUACCAAGGACAAUAUGUCCAGAAUGACCUCUUUACUGCCUGCCAGCUAAUCAGUUAUCCCAUAAGAAAUAGCAAACAAGAUUCACACAACAGAGAGCAAUUAUUUUUCUCUCCCUCUUUCCUCUUUGUCUUAAUAAACGCUCUUUUUUUAUUUGUGUGGUGAAGUCAAUCUAUUGAGGUAUCAUCUUUGUAAACAAGUAAACAGUGUGUUAUAAUUGACUUUGUGACUUUGAAUUAUUGACACUGCUCUGUUUCUUUUCCAAAGAAUCUUUACACUGUUGAAAGAGUAACUCUUUUCCAUUAUAACCUGAGCCAAGUUGAAGAGAAGCAGGGAAUACUGAAUGAAAGUUACUUUUCCAUGCAGGAGGAAAAAAGAAGUUUGCUAUUAUAUAAAUUUAUAGAAAAAUAUAAAAUUACAUGUGAACUUAUUUUUCUUUCUGUGUGUGCCAAAAUUUUUUAAAGAUUUAUAUCUCUACUACUCAAAGCAUUCCCAUCUCUAGCUUUUAUUAGCUCUGUCACCUGAAUCAUUUUUCACUCAUAACCACCUGGCCAUUCUUUAACAUUCAGUUCAUGUAGAUUGUACUAGGCAGUUUAAAUACAUUAGAUUUUAUAAACAAAGACCCAGUGAGCACAGAGAAGUUAACAUGCCCGUGGUCACAUAUAUAUUAAUUGGCAAACUGCCUCCUCCCACUUUAAUUACUUUACCUCCUUCCUUGAUUACUUGCCAUUUUGACAGUCGUCUGAUUUCUGUAUAGCCCUUAUGACUUUUACCAUCCAACUUAGUACAGUUAUGUUUCACUUAAUGACAGGGAUUUUGUCAUUAUGGGAACAUCAUAUAGUACAUCUAUCAAACCUAACUGCAAUAGCCUACUACACAUCUAAGCUAAAUAGUAUAUCAUAUUGCUCCUAGGCUACAAACCUGAACAGCAUGUUGCUGAACUGAAUACUGUAGGCACUUGUAACAUAAUGGACCCUGUGAGGUGAUAUUAUGACCUCCACUUCACUAUGCCUGAGAAGGAAUUGAGGCAAUGAGAAAUAAAGUGGUUUAUCGAAGAUUACACAGCAAGUAGUGGAGCCACAAUUUGAACGAGGUAAUCUGACUAGAGAGCCUGUGCACUCAUUCACCAUACUAUUCUGCAACCUUACACAACCUAUAACAUGAAAAACCACCUUCUUAGAAAUAAGACUGCAUGACCAUCCCAAUUUAAUGUGGAACUUUCUUCUUUAUCUUCUUUUCCUUUACCUGUCUUGGUCCAUUCAGGCUGCUGUAACAAAAUACCAUAGAGUGGGUGGCUUGUAAACAGUAAUUUACUUCUCACAGUUCUGAAGGCUGGGAAUUCCAAGAUCAAGGCACCAACAGAUUUGGUGUCUGGUGAGGGCCUGCAUCCUGGUUCUUAGACUAUAGUUUGUUGGUUUUUGUGUUUUGUUUUGUUUUGUUUUGCUGUGUCCUCACAUGGAAAAAGGAGUGAGGGAUCUCUCUGGGGUUUCUUUUAUAAUGGCACUAAUCUCAUAGGGCUCUAACCAGAGGUCUCUUUUAUAGGGCACUGAUUGCCUCCCAGAGGACCCUAUCUCCAAAUACUCUCACAUUGGGGAUUAGGUUUCAAUAUAUUAAUUUGAGGAGGACAAAGACAUUCAGUCUAUAGCCUGC
Chlorocebus sabaeus (green monkey) is the source of this 2943-nucleotide non-coding RNA. Lineage: Eukaryota; Metazoa; Chordata; Mammalia; Primates; Cercopithecidae. The record is from RefSeq and is a predicted model, not a curated record.